GUGCCAGCAGCCGCGGUAAAACGUAGAGCGAGCGUAUCCGGAUUUACUGGGCGUAAAGCGUGUGUAGCGGUGAUAAGUGGAUGUGAAGCUCCUGGCUUAACUGGAGAGGUCGUCCAAAACUAUCAGACUUGAGAGUGGUAGAGGGAGGUGGAAUUCCGCGUGUAGUGGUGAAAUGCGUAGAUAUGCGGAGGAACACCAGUGGCGAAAGCGGCCUCCUGGCCCAUUUCUGACGCUCAGACACGAAAGCUAAGGUAGCAAACGGGAUUAGAGACCCCGGUAGUCUUAGCUGUAAACGAUGUGAACUUAGUGUCGGUGGGGUUAAAUCCAUCGGUACUGAAGCUAACGCGAUAAGUUCACCGCCUGAGGACUACGGCCGCAAGGUUAAAACUCAAAGGAAUUGACGGGGCCCCGCACAAGCAGCGGAGCGUGUGGUUUAAUUCGAUGUUACACGAAGAACCUUACCAGGGUUUGACAUGCAAGUGGUAGGAAGCCGAAAGGUGACCGACCCUUCGGGGAGCUUGCACAGGUGCUGCAUGGCUGUCGUCAGCUCGUGUCGUGAGAUGUUCGGUUAAGUCCGCUAACGAGCGCAACCCUCACUGUGUGUUAUAUGUGUCACACGGGACUGCCGGUCUUAAGCCGGAGGAAGAUGGGGAUGACGUCAAGUCAGCAUGGCCUUUAUGUCCUGGGCUACACACACGGCUACAAUG
Molecule: ribosomal RNA, 707 nt
Filed under: uncultured bacterium
Lineage: Bacteria
Description: bacterial SSU rRNA
Rfam family: Bacterial small subunit ribosomal RNA
Source: RNAcentral